AGCCCCGUAGUGUAGUGGCCAAGCAUGCGAGGCUUUGAACCUCGUGACCCAGGUUCGAAUCCUGGCGGGGCUA
RNAcentral lists this transfer RNA (73 nucleotides) under archaeon CG10_big_fil_rev_8_21_14_0_10_43_11. RNAcentral's name for it is "tRNA-Gln". It matches the Rfam family "tRNA". Rfam says of the family: Transfer RNA (tRNA) molecules are approximately 80 nucleotides in length. Their secondary structure includes four short double-helical elements and three loops (D, anti-codon, and T loops). Further hydrogen bonds mediate the characteristic L-shaped molecular structure. tRNAs have two regions of fundamental functional importance: the anti-codon, which is responsible for specific mRNA codon recognition, and the 3' end, to which the tRNAs corresponding amino acid is attached (by aminoacyl-tRNA synthetases). tRNAs cope with the degeneracy of the genetic code in two manners: having more than one tRNA (with a specific anti-codon) for a particular amino acid; and 'wobble' base-pairing, i.e. permitting non-standard base-pairing at the 3rd anti-codon position. The record is from RNAcentral.